Molecule: ribosomal RNA, 253 nt
Filed under: uncultured bacterium
Lineage: Bacteria
Description: partial 16S ribosomal RNA
Rfam family: Bacterial small subunit ribosomal RNA
Source: RNAcentral
UACGUAGGGUGCGAGCGUUGUCCGGAAUUAUUGGGCGUAAAGGGCUCGUAGGCGGUCUGUCGCGUCGGGAAUGAAAACUCAGGGCUUAACCCUGAGCCUGCUUCCGAUACGGGCAGACUAGAGGUAUGCAGGGGAGAACGGAAUUCCUGGUGUAGCGGUGAAAUGCGCAGAUAUCGGGAAGAACACCCGUGGCGAAGGCGGCUCUCUGGAACGCAACUGACGCUGAGACGCGAAAGCGUGGGGAGCAAACAGG